Molecule: ribosomal RNA, 794 nt
Filed under: uncultured fungus
Lineage: Eukaryota; Fungi
Description: eukaryotic LSU rRNA
Rfam family: Eukaryotic small subunit ribosomal RNA (bases 1-241)
Source: RNAcentral
UUGCUCUUCAACGAGGAAUUCCUAGUAGGCGUGAGUCAUCAGCUCGCGUCGAUUACGCCCCUGCCCUUUGUACACACCGCCCGUCGCUACUACCGAUUGAACGGCUUAGUGAGGUCUUCGGAUGGGCUUCGGGGAGCCGGCGACGGCGCCCUGUCGCCGAGAAGUCGAUCAAACUUGGUCGUUUAGAGGAAGUAAAAGUCGUAACAAGGUUUCCGUAGGUGAACCUGCGGAAGGAUCAUUGCGGGUUUAUUACCAUUACACACGCACACCCUAGUGCACCCGUGGAAAAGAGGCAGAGUCCUUUUUCCGUUUUCUCAUACGAAACGCCCUUGUUUUAUGCAAUGUCAUUACAAAUAUCGUAAUAACACAACUUUCAACAACGGAUCUCUUGGCUUUCGCAUCGAUGAAGAACGCCGCGAAAGCGCGAAACGUAAUGUGAAUUGCAGAAUUCAGUGAAUCAUCGAAUCUUUGAACGCACCUUGCGCUCCUUGGUAUUCCGAGGAGCAUGCCUGUUUGAGUGUCGUGAAGUCUCUCGAACCUCUCCGCCUUUGCGCGGGGGCGGCUUCGGAUUUGGACGCUUGCCGCGGGUCGCGGCUCGUCUUCAAAAGCAUUAGCGAAAAAGCUCGUCCCUGCUCUUUUUCAGACGCGAUAAGCUCUUUGCGUCGUUUCGAUAAGAACGGGCGUGCCUCGCGCUUCGUCAACCGUCCGCCUCGCCGGACAAAAUAACACCACGCCUCUGACCUCAAAUCAGGCAGGACUACCCGCUGAACUUAAGCAUAUCAAUAAGCGGAGGA